This 253-nucleotide ribosomal RNA is filed under the name uncultured bacterium. Its description in RNAcentral is "partial 16S ribosomal RNA". It matches the Rfam family "Bacterial small subunit ribosomal RNA", at positions 524 to 776 of the family's 1533-position model. The record is from RNAcentral.
UACGAAGGGGGCUAGCGUUGUUCGGAAUCACUGGGCGUAAAGGGCGCGUAGGCGGCUUUAUAAGUCGGGCGUGAAAGCCUGUGGCUCAACCACAGAAUUGCCUUCGAUACUGUAGAGCUUGAGACCGGAAGAGGUAAGUGGAACUGCGAGUGUAGAGGUGAAAUUCGUAGAUAUUCGCAAGAACACCAGUGGCGAAGGCGGCUUACUGGUCCGGUUCUGACGCUGAGGCGCGAAAGCGUGGGGAGCAAACAGG